CCUGGCUGUCACAAAAUGACUCCUCACAAUGCAUUUCCUAACAUGCUGCCAGAUCUUGUUUCAACAUUAUCAUCCUCCCGGGCUUUCGUUUCUGGUAUUCCACGAGUGGAUUUUCCGAGCUCUUCAUUAUAAUGCAGGUGGGGAAACUGAGGCACGGGGGGACACCAUCCAGUUCGAUCCCAGUCAUUGUGGGAGAGGGAUGGGAGCAGAGCCAGGCAGCGAGCUGCCCCGUGCCCUGCCUGAUUUGGCCCUGGCCGUGGGUGCCCAGAUGUGCAUCGCUGCCUCCAGAUGUGCAGGAGGCGAGGAGGGCUGGGCAGCCUCGCUGGGGAGGCCGUGGGAAGAGGACGGACGGGGAGCACCGGAGCAGACCACAGUUAUUGAUCACAACCUGAGCAGUGAAUCACCACAAACACGGGGGGAAGGAGCAGGAGAGAUGCUGCUCUGCUGCCUCAGAAAGGGCCCUGCAGCAUUCCCCUCCCCGACUGUGGCCCAGCCACCCCAUCCCCAGCUGAAAGCAUGACAGCCCCGCACACCCCUGAUGGUCACGGUGUGGCGUGCUGGGCAUUAUAUCAAAAAACCCGAAACCUGAUCCUCGCUGUGGUGUGCUCUUAUAUGAGAUCCCAUCAAGCCUGGCUUUCUGGUCUGUAAGGAGCUCCAGGAGCAGGAAGUUUAAAUUGGAAAAACUGCAAAUGAGGCACUCAUGGGGAGCAUUAAAGCACCAGGAAACCCACUGAGACCUUGAGCUUGCUCAUCUCGUCCUGGAGCUUUGAUGCUGUGGGGGACAACUCUUUGGGAGAUGGGUAUGCUGGCCAGGAAGGCCAGCCUGGUGAAUAUGGUGACGCCUUUGGAUCCUAAACCCUGUGCAUCUGCUUGUGCAUCACCUUGCCCUCACAUUGUGCUCAUCCUCAGCACGGGGCUGGGUUACCAAACUGUGCUGCAACCUUGGCUGACCUUCUUUGCCAUUCCCUGCCCAUCCUUGGCCUUGUUUACCCCGACUGGAGGUUUUUGGAGGCAGGGACAGUCACUUACGUGUGUACUAUACUUAGCACAAGGGGUUUCAGGCUUGGCUGGGUUCUCUAAUAGCAAUGAAUAUUCCAUUAAAAAAAAAAAAGUUACUUGAUUAAAAGAAAGCUAUUUAGACUACAAAGUCAAAGCACUGCCAAGUUUAAUAGUUAUCCCUCCAACCUUCAUUCUGCCUCUAAAACUUUUCCAAAUGAAUAAAAUUAAGAGAUGCUCCA
This 1238-nucleotide long non-coding RNA is filed under the name Anas platyrhynchos platyrhynchos (common mallard). Its description in RNAcentral is "lncRNA (ENSAPLG00000020007.1)". Lineage: Eukaryota; Metazoa; Chordata; Aves; Anseriformes; Anatidae. The record is from RNAcentral.